This 197-nucleotide ribosomal RNA is filed under the name uncultured bacterium. Its description in RNAcentral is "partial 16S ribosomal RNA". It matches the Rfam family "Bacterial small subunit ribosomal RNA", at positions 1304 to 1500 of the family's 1533-position model. The record is from RNAcentral.
GCUGCAACUCGCCUGCAUGAAGUCGGAAUUGCUAGUAAUCGCAGAUCAGCAUGCUGUGGUGAAUACGUUCCCGGGCCUUGUACACACCGCCCGUCACACCAUGGGAGUCGGUAACACCCAAAGUUGGUAGUCUAACCGCAAGGAGGACGCCGCCUAAGGUGGGAUUGAUGACUGGGGUGAAGUCGUAACAAGGUACC